Molecule: ribosomal RNA, 99 nt
Organism: Cercocebus atys (sooty mangabey)
Lineage: Eukaryota; Metazoa; Chordata; Mammalia; Primates; Cercopithecidae
Source: Ensembl
AUCUACGGUGAUACCACCCUGAUCCUGAAAGCAAAGCAGGGUCAGGUCUGGCCAGUACUUGGAAUGGAGACUGCUUGGGAAUACUGGGUGCUGUAGGCA